RNAcentral lists this ribosomal RNA (500 nucleotides) under uncultured Glomus. RNAcentral's name for it is "SSU rRNA". It matches the Rfam family "Eukaryotic small subunit ribosomal RNA", at positions 591 to 1092 of the family's 1831-position model. Lineage: Eukaryota; Fungi; Glomeromycota; Glomeromycetes; Glomerales; Glomeraceae. The record is from RNAcentral.
CCAAUAGCGUAUAUUAAAGUUGUUGCAGUUAAAAAGCUCGUAGUUGAAUUUCGGGAUCAGUAGGUUGGUCGUGCCACUGGUAUGUACUGGUCUCACUGGUUCCUCCUUCUUGUAGAACCGUAAUGCCAUUAAGUUGGUGUUGCGGGGAAACAGGACGGUUACUUUGAAAAAAUUAGAGUGUUUAAAGCAGGCUAACGCUUGAAUACAUUAGCAUGGAAUAAUGAAAUAGGACGAACGAUCCUAUUUUGUUGGUUUCUAGGAUUGACGUAAUGAUUAAUAGGGAUAGUUGGGGGCAUUAGUAUUCAAUUGUCAGAGGUGAAAUUCUUGGAUUUAUUGAAGACUGACUACUGCGAAAGCAUUUGCCAAGGAUGUUUUCAUUAAUCAAGAAUGAAAGUUGGGGGCUCGAAGACGAUCAGAUACCGUCCUAGUCUCAACCAUAAACGAUGCCGACUAGGGAUCGGAUGAUGUUAAUUUUUUAAUGACUCAUUCGGCGCCUUACG